Molecule: ribosomal RNA, 253 nt
Filed under: uncultured bacterium
Lineage: Bacteria
Description: partial 16S ribosomal RNA
Rfam family: Bacterial small subunit ribosomal RNA
Source: RNAcentral
UACGUAGGGGGCAAGCGUUGUCCGGAUUUAUUGGGCGUAAAGAGCGUGUAGGCGGCUAGGUAGGUCCGUUGUGAAAACUCGAGGCUCAACCUCGAGACGCCGAUGGAAACCAUCUGGCUAGAGUCCGGAAGAGGAGAGUGGAAUUCCUGGUGUAGCGGUGAAAUGCGCAGAUAUCAGGAAGAACACCGAUGGCGAAGGCAGGUCUCUGGGCCACUACUGACGCUGAGAAGCGAAAGCAUGGGGAGCGAACAGG